Molecule: small nuclear RNA, 119 nt
Filed under: Trichobilharzia regenti
Lineage: Eukaryota; Metazoa; Platyhelminthes; Trematoda; Strigeidida; Schistosomatidae
Description: U5 spliceosomal RNA
Rfam family: U5 spliceosomal RNA
About the family: U5 RNA is a component of both types of known spliceosome. The precise function of this molecule is unknown, though it is known that the 5' loop is required for splice site selection and p220 binding, and that both the 3' stem-loop and the Sm site are important for Sm protein binding and cap methylation.
Source: Rfam by way of RNAcentral
UAACUCUGGUGUCUCCUCAUUUGUGGAUAAAUCUUUCGCCUUUUACUGAGGAUUUCCGUAGGUAGGCACAAUACAAUGAGUCUUGCCUGAUUUUUUUCAGCUCUGUCUUCGGGCGGAGU